This 443-nucleotide ribosomal RNA is filed under the name uncultured bacterium. RNAcentral describes it as "partial 16S ribosomal RNA". It matches the Rfam family "Bacterial small subunit ribosomal RNA", at positions 338 to 795 of the family's 1533-position model. The record is from RNAcentral.
CCUACGGGAGGCAGCAGUGGGGAAUAUUGGGCAAUGGGCGCAAGCCUGACCCAGCAACGCCGCGUGAGGGAAGAAGGCCUUCGGGUUGUAAACUUCUUUUCUCAGGGACGAAGCAAGUGACGGUACCUGAGGCAUAAGCCGCGGCUAACUACGUGACAGCAGCCGCGGUAAUACGUAGGUGGCAAGCGUUAUACGGAUUUACUGGGGGUAAAGGGCGUGUAGGCGGGACUGUAAGUCAGAUGGGAAAACCACGGGCUCAACCUGUGGCCUGCAUUUGAAACUGUAGGUCUUGAGUACUGGAGAGGCAGACGGAAUUCCUGGUGUAGCGGUGAAAGGCGUAGAUAUAAGGAAGAACACCAGUGGCGAAGGCGGUCUGCUGGACAGCAACUGACGCUGAGGCGCGAAAGCGUGGGGAGCAAACAGGAUUAGAUACCCCAGUAGUC